UCACAACCUAUAUUUUAAUAACAAUAAAACAGCUUUUGGUUUCGAAUGGUCACCAAAAAGGAGAGCUCCCCACCUCCCAAUUAAAUUAACUGCUGGCUAUCAGAUUACAAGGUUUACAAGCCAAAGUUCAAAUGCUGACAUCAAAUUCAAAGCAAUCCGCGCACUGCCUAAACAGCUGACCGGAAAAGCAAAUGGCACUCUGCUUUCUAAAAUUGACAGAAAAGGCGCACCGUCUGGCAGCUGCUCUCCAAGCAAUGCUCCUAAAGCCAGCCAUUACGGUAAACAACCAUUGUUUUUUCAUCGGGAUUGGAAUGAUAUGCCUACUUUUUGUGGAACUUUGUUUUUUUAUUGCAGUGGACAGUUCAGGGCCUGGCUCCCCAGUGGGUGCGCCUCUGUAAUCCCAGGCCCAUGUCUGCGCCCCUGAUGCAAACAGCACAUGACAAUUGCGCAUUACAAAUAGCCUACUAACCAACACUUCGGACUAAACUUUUUCAAUACCUGGGUUGCAUACAUAUUGUUGCCUUAGUUAACAUUUGCUGGUAGAUAUGUUAACGUCUUUCCUAUGAAGUGAUGUGAUUUUGAUCAUGUGAUUUCUCUGCAAGGGCUUUAUAGUUUAGAUUUUCUCUUGUCAGACUAAGAAAUAAAUGGACAGGAUUAAGCCGUCCUAGUUCAUAUGUUCCACUCUUUCUGAAUUCACCCUAUAGAUAUUUUCCUAAUAUUUGAAACUUGUUUUAUUGAGUUUUUACCAGAAAAUGCUGUAACAGACUGUUAUAUUCUGAAAUUAUCGCUGCCGGCUGUGCUACAUAAAACUGUGGGCCGUUUUCACAGACAGGCCUUAGAUUAAGCCAGGAGUAGGCCUUCAUGUGUACUAGACAGGGCUUAGAUUAAGCCAGGAGUAGGCCUUAAUGUGUACUAGACAGGGCUUAGAUUAAGCCAGGAGUAGGCCUUAAUGUGUACUAGACAGGGCUUAGAUUAAGCCAGGAGUAGGCCUUAAUGUGAACUAGACAGGGUUUAGAUUAAGCCAGGAGUAGGCCUUAAUGUGUACUAGUUAAACUAGAACAUUUAAGUAGCUUUCAUGAACGUGGCUUAAAUUUGGCUUAGAGUCCUGGAGUAAGUUAAGUAAACCUAAAUGAGAACCUAAUCAGGUUUAACCCAGGGUUUAAGUAUGAGCACACGCUGUUGGUCUACUGGGGCUCAUAAAAACCCAGAAUGGAAAAGAAAACACCAUUACUGGUGUGACUCUUGAGACAAAACAAUGGCAGAGGCAAAAGUAAUUAGUUCAAAAAAACUUUAGUGAGUAUGAAAAAACGCUACUAAAACAAAUUUUGUCAAACCUUCUAGUUAUUGAAUGUAAAAACCAUGCUACUGCUACUGAGCAAAAGAAAAAGAGUGGUUGGGCUGCAAUUUGCAGUGAAUUCAAUGCAAAUGAAAAUGUAACCACAAGAAGAGUACAACUUCAGAGGAAAGGAAUGUGAACAGGUUGGAAGAGCCAGUGCACAGUGAGUGUAUACCCUCCACAUCUGCUAUAGCGUCCCUGAGAGAAGAUGCUGCCACCACCUUUCAGCAGAGAACAAAGAAGAUGACCAUACAUGAAAAGUUAGACAGAGAAUUUUAUGAGCAUAAAAUGAAAUAUCUGAAGGAAGAACAUGAAAUAAAAAGGACAAUUCUACAGGUUGAAUUGGAUAUGAAGUUGGAAGAGAGAGGUAUGAUCCAAAAAAAAGAGAGUAAUGAG
RNAcentral lists this long non-coding RNA (1732 nucleotides) under Salmo salar (Atlantic salmon). RNAcentral describes it as "lncRNA (ENSSSAG00000116307.1)". The record is from RNAcentral. Lineage: Eukaryota; Metazoa; Chordata; Actinopteri; Salmoniformes; Salmonidae.